RNAcentral lists this ribosomal RNA (321 nucleotides) under uncultured Piloderma. RNAcentral's name for it is "eukaryotic LSU rRNA". It matches the Rfam family "Eukaryotic large subunit ribosomal RNA", at positions 1 to 311 of the family's 3401-position model. Lineage: Eukaryota; Fungi; Basidiomycota; Agaricomycetes; Atheliales; Atheliaceae. The record is from RNAcentral.
UUGACCUCAAAUCAGGUAGGACUACCCGCUGAACUUAAGCAUAUCAAUAAGCGGAGGAAAAGAAACUAACAAGGAUUCCCCUAGUAACUGCGAGUGAAGCGGGAAAAGCUCAAAUUUAAAAUCUGGCGGUCUUGCGGCCGUCCGAGUUGUAAUCUGGAGAAGCGUUUAUCCGCGUCGGACCGUGUACAAGUCUUCUGGAAGGGAGCGUCGUAGAGGGUGAGAAUCCCGUCUUUGACACGGACAACCGGUGCUUUUGUGAUGCGCUCUCGAAGAGUCGAGUUGUUUGGGAAUGCAGCUCAAAAUGGGUGGUAAAUUCCAUCU